RNAcentral lists this ribosomal RNA (661 nucleotides) under uncultured Thermocrinis sp. RNAcentral's name for it is "bacterial SSU rRNA". It matches the Rfam family "Bacterial small subunit ribosomal RNA", at positions 1 to 642 of the family's 1533-position model. Lineage: Bacteria; Pseudomonadati; Aquificota; Aquificia; Aquificales; Aquificaceae. The record is from RNAcentral.
UUAGAGUUUGAUCCUGGCUCAGCGCGAACGCUGGCGGCGUGCCUAACACAUGCAAGUCGUGCGGAGGGGUGAUGAGCCCCUCAGCGGCAAACGGGUGAGUAACACGUGAGUAACCUACCCUUGGGAAGGGGAUAACCCUCCGAAAGGAGGGCUAAUACCCUAUACUGCCGAGGACCACUAAGGUUUCUCGGUGAAAGGUGGCCUCUGCCCUUCACGGGCAUGCUACCGCCCAAGGAGGGGCUCGCGGCCCAUCAGGUAGUUGGUGGGGUAACGGCCUACCAAGCCUAUGACGGGUAGCCGGCCUGAGAGGGUGGUCGGCCACAGUGGGACUGAGACACGGCCCACACCCCUACGGGGGGCAGCAGUGGGGAAUCGUGGGCAAUGGGCGAAAGCCUGACCCCGCGACGCCGCGUGGAGGAAGAAGCCCUUCGGGGUGUAAACUCCUGUCGGGGGGGACGAUGUGUCCUGGGGUGAAUAAUCCCAGGGCAUGACGGUACCCCCAGAGGAAGGGACGGCUAACUACGUGCCAGCAGCCGCGGUAAUACGUAGGUCCCGAGCGUUGCGCGAAUUCACUGGGCGUAAAGCGUCCGCAGCCGGACGGGUAAGCGGUGCGUCAAAGCCCACCGCUCAACGGUGGAACGGCGUACCGAACUGCCUGUCU